Molecule: non-coding RNA, 27 nt
Filed under: Homo sapiens (human)
Lineage: Eukaryota; Metazoa; Chordata; Mammalia; Primates; Hominidae
Source: RNAcentral
AUUGGUUGGACCAGAUGUGCCAUUUGC